GAUGAACGCUGGCGGCGUGCCUAAUACAUGCAAGUCGAACGCUUCACUUCGGUGAAGAGUGGCGAACGGGUGAGUAAUACAUAAGUAACCUGGCAUCUACAGGGGGAUAACUGAUGGAAACGUCAGCUAAGACCGCAUAGGUGUAGAGAUCGCAUGAACUCUAUAUGAAAAGUGCUACGGGACUGGUAGAUGAUGGACUUAUGGCGCAUUAGCUGGUUGGUAGGGUAACGGCCUACCAAGGCGACGAUGCGUAGCCGACCUGAGAGGGUGACCGGCCACACUGGGACUGAGACACGGCCCAGACUCCUACGGGAGGCAGCAGUAGGGAAUUUUCGGCAAUGGGGGAAACCCUGACCGAGCAACGCCGCGUGAAGGAAGAAGUAAUUCGUUAUGUAAACUUCUGUCAUAGAGGAAGAACGGUGGAUAUAGGGAAUGAUAUCCAAGUGACGGUACUCUAUA
RNAcentral lists this ribosomal RNA (459 nucleotides) under uncultured bacterium. Its description in RNAcentral is "bacterial SSU rRNA". It matches the Rfam family "Bacterial small subunit ribosomal RNA", at positions 28 to 484 of the family's 1533-position model. The record is from RNAcentral.